Molecule: long non-coding RNA, 277 nt
Filed under: Calidris pygmaea (Spoon-billed sandpiper)
Lineage: Eukaryota; Metazoa; Chordata; Aves; Charadriiformes; Scolopacidae
Description: lncRNA (ENSCPGG00000002865.1)
Source: RNAcentral
UGAGCGGGGGAAGGGGCCGUCGCGCCCGCGGUGGCGUCUGUGGGAGCGCGCGCGGCGGGGCGGUGUGUGGCGGCAGCUGGAGCCGUGACGGACGGGGAAGAGUGAGGAGGAAGACUUGCCAGGCAAGAUCCCAAACCAGUCUGACCUUCGUUUUUCCGGUGAGCCGAUUCUGAAACUCCGAGUAGAGGACUCCUAGCCUGAGCUGCUUGGUGCAAGGAGUUUGAGAAUGCAGCAAGCCUGAUAGUGAGGACAGAAGAAUCUCCUUAAAGAAGUCUCA